GGCAGCUUACACAUGCAGUCGAGGGGUAUAGGAAGCUUGCUUCCUAGAGACCGGCGCACGGGUGCGUAACGCGUAUGCAAUCUACCUUUUGCAGAGGGAUAGCCCAGAGAAAUUUGGAUUAAUACCUCAUAGUAUGUGAGAAUGGCAUCAUUUUCACAUUAAAGUCACAACGGCAAAAGAUGAGCAUGCGUCCCAUUAGCUUGUUGGUAAGGUAACGGCUUACCAAGGCAACGAUGGGUAGGGGUCCUGAGAGGGAGAUCCCCCACACUGGUACUGAGACACGGACCAGACUCCUACGGGAGGCAGCAGUGAGGAAUAUUGGACAAUGGGCGCAAGCCUGAUCCAGCCAUGCCGCGUGCAGGAUGACGGUCCUAUGGAUUGUAAACCGCUUUUGUACAGGAAGAAACACUGGUUCGUGAACCAGCUUGACGGUACUGUAAGAAUAAGGAUCGGCUAACUCCGUGCCAGCAGCCGCGGUAAUACGGAGGAUCCAAGCGUUAUCCGGAAUCAUUGGGUUUAAAGGGUCCGUAGGCGGUUUAGUAAGUCAGUGGUGAAAGCCCAUCGCUCAACGGUGGAACGGCCAUUGAUACUGCUAGACUUGAAUUAUUAGGAAGUAACUAGAAUAUGUAGUGUAGCGGUGAAAUGCUUAGAGAUUACAUGGAAUACCAAUUGCGAAGGCAGGUUACUACUAAUGGAUUGACGCUGAUGGACGAAAGCGUGGGUAGCGAACAGGAUUAGAUACCCUGGUAGUCCACGCCGUAAACGAUGGAUACUAGCUGUUGGGCGCAAGUUCAGUGGCUAAGCGAAAGUGAUAAGUAUCCCACCUGGGGGAGUACGUUCGCAGAUGAAACUCAAAGGAAUUGACGGGGGCCCGCACAGCGGUGGAG
Molecule: ribosomal RNA, 887 nt
Filed under: uncultured bacterium
Lineage: Bacteria
Description: bacterial SSU rRNA
Rfam family: Bacterial small subunit ribosomal RNA
Source: RNAcentral